AGUGCAUGUGGUGGAUGCCUUGGCGAUUACAGGCGACGAAGGACGUGAUAGCCUGCGAUAAGCUUCGGGGAGCUGGCAAAUUAGCUUUGAUCCGGAGAUUUCCGAAUGGGGAAACCCACCGAAAGGUAUCUCUAUCUGAAUACAUAGGAUAGAGAGGCGAACCGGGUGAACUGAAACAUCUCAGUAGCUCGAGGAAAAGACAUCAACCGAGAUUCCGAAAGUAGUGGCGAGCGAAAUCGGAACAGCCUAGUGCUCUUUAGCAGUCGACUUAUCAAAACAGCUUGGAAACGCUGGCCAUAGUGGGUGAUAGCCCCGUAUGAGAAAAGUCUUCUGUGGAACUGAGUGCACGAUAAGUAGGGCGGGACACGAGAAAUCCUGUCUGAAGAUGGGGGGACCAUCCUCCAAGGCUAAAUACUCGUAAUCGACCGAUAGUGAACAAGUACCGUGAGGGAAAGGCGAAAAGAACCCCGGGAGGGGAGUGAAAUAGAUCCUGAAACCGCAUGCAUACAAAAAGUCGGAGCCCGCAAGGGUGACGGCGUACCUUUUGUAUAAUGGGUCAGCGACUUACAUUCAGUGGCGAGGUUAACCGAAUAGGGUAGCCGAAGAGAAAUCGAGUCCGAAUAGGGCGUCUAGUCGCUGGGUGUAGACCCGAAACCAAGUGAUCUAUCCAUGGCCAGGAUGAAGGUGCGGUAACACGCACUGGAGGUCCGAACCGACUAGUGUUGCAAAACUAGCGGAUGAGCUGUGGAUAGGGGUGAAAGGCUAAACAAACUUGGAAAUAGCUGGUUCUCUCCGAAAACUAUUUAGGUAGUGCCUCAAGUAUUACCAUCGGGGGUAGAGCACUGUUAUGGCUAGGGGGUCAUGGCGACUUACCAAACCAUUGCAAACUCCGAAUACCGAUGAGUACAGCUUGGGAGACAGUGCACCGGGUGCUAACGUCCGGACACAAGAGGGAAACAACCCAGACCGCCAGCUAAGGUCCCUAAAAUUGGCUAAGUGGGAAACGAAGUGGGAAGGCUAAAACAGUCAGGAUGUUGGCUUAGAAGCAGCCAUCAUUUAAAGAAAGCGUAAUAGCUCACUGAUCGAGUCGUCCUGCGCGGAAGAUGUAACGGGGCUAAGCCAGUUACCGAAGCUGCGGAUUCACAGUUUACUGUGAGUGGUAGGAGAGCGUUCUGUAAGCCUGCGAAGGUGUCUUGUAAAGGAUGCUGGAGGUAUCAGAAGUGCGAAUGCUGACAUGAGUAGCGUUAAAGGGGGUGAAAAGCCCCCUCGCCGUAAGCGCAAGGUUUCCUACGCAACGUUCAUCGGCGUAGGGUGAGUCGGCCCCUAAGGCGAGGCAGAGAUGCGUAGCUGAUGGGAAACAGGUUAAUAUUCCUGUACCGAUGUGUAGUGCGAUGUGGGGACGGAGAAGGUUAGCUCAGCCAGGUGUUGGAUGUCCCGGUUCAAGCCUGUAGUCGUGCCUGGUAGGCAAAUCCGCCGGGCUUAGAUGAGGGGUGAUAACGAGUCUGCUUGCAGACGAAGUGAGUGAUACCCUGCUUCCAGGAAAAGCCACUAAGCUUCAGCUAUUGACGACCGUACCGCAAACCGACACUGGUGCGCGAGAUGAGUAUUCUAAGGCGCUUGAGAGAACUCUGGAGAAGGAACUCGGCAAAUUGACACCGUAACUUCGGAAGAAGGUGUGCCUUUAGUAGGUGAACCAUUUACUUGGGGAGCCCAAUGAGGUCGCAGAGAAUCGGUGGCUGCGACUGUUUAUUAAAAACACAGCACUCUGCAAACACGAAAGUGGACGUAUAGGGUGUGACGCCUGCCCGGUGCUGGAAGAUUAAAUGAUGGGGUGCAAGCUCUUGACUGAAGUCCCAGUAAACGGCGGCCGUAACUAUAACGGUCCUAAGGUAGCGAAAUUCCUUGUCGGGUAAGUUCCGACCUGCACGAAUGGCGUAACGAUGGCCACACUGUCUCCUCCAGAGACUCAGCGAAGUUGAAAUGUUUGUGAUGAUGCAAUCUCCCCGCGGAAAGACGGAAAGACCCCAUGAACCUUUACUGUAGCUUUACAUUGGACUUUGAACAGAUCUGUGUAGGAUAGGUGGGAGGCUUUGAAGCCAGGACGCUAGUUCUGGUGGAGCCAACGUUGAAAUACCACCCUGGUGUGUUUGAGGUUCUAACCUUGGCCCGUUAUCCGGGUUGGGGACAGUGUAUGGUGGGCAGUUUGACUGGGGCGGUCUCCUCCCAAAGUGUAACGGAGGAGUUCGAAGGUACGCUAGGCACGGUCGGAAAUCGUGCUGAUAGU
RNAcentral lists this ribosomal RNA (2284 nucleotides) under wastewater metagenome. RNAcentral describes it as "bacterial LSU rRNA". It matches the Rfam family "Bacterial large subunit ribosomal RNA", at positions 14 to 2350 of the family's 2925-position model. The record is from RNAcentral.